This is a non-coding RNA of Danio rerio (zebrafish), 1508 nucleotides long. Lineage: Eukaryota; Metazoa; Chordata; Actinopteri; Cypriniformes; Danionidae. The record is from RefSeq and is a predicted model, not a curated record.
UUGAAUUAUUGAUUUUUUGUAUAUGUCUACUCUCAUUGCAGUCCAGAAACAGUCUACAGCAGGGGGAUAUGGAUGGGGCAAGACGUUUGGGACGUUUGGCUCGUCUGCUUAGCUGUGUGGCCAUCAUCGUGGGCCUCCUGAGCAUCAUAAUAUAUGUGGUGGUUGCAGUUACCGGAAAGGGGACAAAGUAAAGAUGACUACUACUACUACUACUACUACUGCAAAAAAACCCACAGAUGAUGUAAUUAAAACAAGAUCUCCCUCUUAUCAAUAACGCCACAGAAGAUGAAAAAGAAACGAGGACUGUCGCAACUAAAUAAGAUCUGAUUAAGUAGCGAAAAUGCAUGCAGUAGGUUAGCAUGCUCAGUGAAAAAAUUAAAUAAAUUCAAAAUCCCAUAUGUUAAAAAGAACAGUGAUGGCUUGCAUUAUGUAAAUGAGAAAUACUGCUGUAUCGGCAAAAAAAAAGUGGCCUGUGGAUGAUGACACAAAGGACAAGGACUUCUUCUUUUCUUUUCUUUUUUCAAAAAUGGAAAACGUCUACACACAGCUGCAUUUUAACCUUAUAUUACUCCUGGUCGAUCUUGCAUUUGAAAAUUAUGCACAGAAAUAUUUGCAACUAAUAAACUACUGAUGUAUGUUUUAUAGAAAAGAUUUCUAUGUGGAGUCUGAGCUGAGGGAUUGAACUAGGGUCGACUUAUCCAUGUCAGGUGUAGAAACGAACACUGGGGUUGGAGGUUUCAUUUUUCUCCAUUUAUUUUGUAGGUUUGGAUUUCAAACAAAUGACCACGUGCAUGUCUGACCUUGUAUGUGAAUAAGUGUCAGCAUUUUCAAUGACUAUAUCUUUUUUUAAUCUGUGAGAGUAGUAGUGGGAGUCUACAGAUGGGACUGUACAUCGUUGUCCGUAGUGUGUCAAAUGCUAUAUUCUGUCAAAGACACAGCAUUCAUGGAGAGCUCAGCCUCUCAUUACACGUCCUGUACUAGUCUAGUUUUCUUUAGAGAGGUAAGACUGUAACGAUACGCAUGCCAGGCCUCUCUUUCCUAACAAAAACUGCUGGAGCAUGGACAUUCAUCUAGAGGCAUGCGGCGGCCAGCACCAUUCUGUGCCAAGACCUUUAUAUCAGUAUGCUAAACGCACCACAGGACUAUUCAUCCUUCCCCGGGUUCUUUCCAGGACAGAAUGUCAGACUCCCGGUCAUAAAUCUCCCUACUUAACCCUUAUAAAUAUGAGAUAUAUAUCAACAUAUUUAUAGAAAUAUUUAGGCAUGCUGUGGGUGGACAAAACACUUUCUAUCUUUAAGAAUGAGCUUGUGUGUAAGACCGUGUCCUAACCAGACGCAACGUGAUAAGACUCUUGUCUUGACAGAGUUACAUGACGUAACAAAAGAUACAAAACAAUGUCACAGCCAAUCAGAAGAGAGUGUAGGCAUGAUCGUCUGCAAGUGACGAGUUUAUAACGCAUAAUACAAAAUAACCAGAGCAUUGUUAAAAUACAUGCUGAAUGACUGUUA